GUGUCAGCAGCCGCGGUAAUACGAGGGAUCCUAGCGUUGUUCGGAAUCAUUGGGCGUAAAGCGUGUGUAGGCGGCCAUGUAAGUCAGUUGUGAAAGCCCCGGGCUCAACCCGGGAAGUGCUUCUGAUACUGCGUGGCUUGAAUGUUGGAGAGGUGAGUGGAAUUCCAGGUGUAGUGGUGAAAUACGUAGAUAUCUGGAGGAACACCGGUGGCGAAGGCGGCUCACUGGCCAUACAUUGACGCUGAGACACGAAAGCGUGGGGAUCAAACAGGAUUAGAUACCCGGGUAGUCC
RNAcentral lists this ribosomal RNA (292 nucleotides) under uncultured bacterium. RNAcentral's name for it is "partial 16S ribosomal RNA". It matches the Rfam family "Bacterial small subunit ribosomal RNA", at positions 505 to 796 of the family's 1533-position model. The record is from RNAcentral.